Pogoniulus pusillus (Red-fronted tinkerbird) is the source of this 1486-nucleotide long non-coding RNA. RefSeq lists it as uncharacterized. The record is from RefSeq and is a predicted model, not a curated record. NCBI's taxonomy places the organism in Eukaryota, Metazoa, Chordata, Aves, Piciformes, Lybiidae. The transcript has 3 exons.
CGGCCGGGCUGCCAGCGCCACACGUCAGGGAGGGCGGGGGAGCGGGGCCGCGGGGCGGGGAGCGCCGCGCAGGGGUGGGAUCAGCCGGAGCACCGGCACCCCGACAUCCCUCAUCCCGCCCCCACAGCCCGGCAUCCCCGCAGCCUGCACCUAGGGACUUCGCACCCGCUACCCCUUGGCACCCCAGUUCCUUCGCAGCCUCCAGCCCAAACACCCCUGUGGCAUCCCUGGCUCCUCCACGCCACCGCUCCCCGGCAUCUCGCACCUUCUGAUCGGCAUGAGAAAGAUAAUUCAGCAGGGGACCUGGGGCCAAGAAGAAAAGGGAACCAGGAAUCCUGUGUUCAACAUAGGAUAUACUUUGCCCAGUCUGUCCUACAGAAAUAGUGGGCAAAACUGGAAGAUCUCAUUGCAACGCAGACAUCUACAGCCCCAGCCUCAAAUACUGACCUUUUCACGGGUGCUCUUUACCCCAUCCAGCCCCCAUGGGAUGGAGGCAGGGGCUUGACACCUACCAGUCUGUACACAACCAGCAGCUGCACACAGGAUGUUUGCAGUGAACUGAUCUCAAAGCCGUGUACCCAAGACUGAAGAAGGUCAGGGAAGCAAGGAAGAGAGGGCAUAGCUGACUCCUGCCCCUUAGCCUACAAUGUCUUUCCUUCUCCAUCUUCCCCUCUGCAGGUCCUGGGGGCAACUGAGCUUCCAUUAUUAUGACAAUCCAAGUUAGUCCUAAGUGGGAUCUGUUUAACUUAGUUAUUGAAGAGCUAGUUCCAGGGAAGCAUCCUUGCUUGGGACAGUGCUUACGCACAUGUUUAAAGGGACAAACUUGCAUCACUCCUUCUUGAGUUGGGAACUCUCAUCUCACAGGGGAAUUUGCCUCGUUCUUGCAGUCGUCUGUGCUUGAACUGUUGUGGGUUUUGUUGUUUUUUUGGGUUUGGUUUUUUUUUCCCAAGUUGAGUUUUGCCCCAUGUAAACACCAAACAUGUUUACUUUUCAGAGAGUUUCAUUUGGGCUAGAAAAGGCAUAAGAAUUCGUGGAGAAUUUGUGGCUUCAGUGGGUAAAAGAGAACAGAAAAGUCACCAACAACAGGCUGCUUGCUGAAGGAUGUGGAGUCAUCAGAUAAACAUGGCUGGCCCUACCAGGGCUGGUCAGUCUUGCCACUGCUGUGGAAACAUGCUGAUAAAGAUAAACCAACCUAGUGGGAAUGACAGGAGACAGGAGUGGCUGAGAAAAAGCAAAAGUGCCACUAUAAAGGAAAUAAAAAACCUGUCAGUACCUCAUCAUUUGGAAGAUGAUUUCAUUCUCAAAUGAAACAAAUUACUUUUGUCCAAAAUAAUGUUGAGUGGAAGGUGAAGGCUCAUGGAUGUGGAAACACAGCCCCUGCAACACAAAAUGGGGCCAAAAAGUUAUCAAGAACAGAGUGAACUCUAGAGCAAAACAGAGGUGCACCAACACAGGAGUUUGAUUGCAGAGGACCUGCUCUCUGUCC